This 73-nucleotide transfer RNA is filed under the name Ornithorhynchus anatinus (platypus). RNAcentral's name for it is "tRNA-Thr (TGT) (tRNA-Thr-TGT-7-1)". It matches the Rfam family "tRNA". From Rfam's summary of the family: Transfer RNA (tRNA) molecules are approximately 80 nucleotides in length. The record is from Rfam by way of RNAcentral. Lineage: Eukaryota; Metazoa; Chordata; Mammalia; Monotremata; Ornithorhynchidae.
GGCUCUGUAGCUCAGGGGUUAGAGCACUGGUCUUGUAAACCAGGGGUCGUGAGUUCGAAUCUCUCCAGGGCCU